Molecule: long non-coding RNA, 987 nt
Filed under: Heterocephalus glaber (naked mole-rat)
Lineage: Eukaryota; Metazoa; Chordata; Mammalia; Rodentia; Bathyergidae
Description: lncRNA (ENSHGLG00100041044.1)
Source: RNAcentral
GAAGCCUGCUGGGAGGAUGUGGGUCGCUGUGGGAGUGGCUUGGAGAUUGCUAUCUAUCUAUCUAUCUAUCUAUCUAUCUAUCUAUCUAUCUAUCUAAUCUGUUUAUCCCUAUAUAUUUCCAUAUAUAUAUCUAUAUUAUAUAUAGAUAUAUAUACACACAUUGCCUCCUGCCUUGAGCCUUGAGUGUGCGCUGCUUCCUGCCUGCCAUGCCGUGACCUAUUUCUCCUCUGCAAUGCCCCUCUGCCAUGCUGCCCUGCCUUGCAGCCAGCCGACUAUGGACUGAAAUCUCUAUAAAAUCUGACAUGAAGUGAGGCGCUUUCCUCCACUACACCCUUACACCACGAUGUUUCUGCUUCUCCAAAUGGACAAUGGACUGAAACCUAUGAAGCUGUGAAUGAUAUGUUCAAGUUGUUUUGUGUAGAGUUUGAUUUUUCCCUUUAUUCCAGGGCUUCACAGGUCAAUAUUUGUUUUCAAGCCUGGGUUAAUGUCCCUGACUUUUUAGAUAAUUUAGAUAAUAUAGGUGCCUCAGGCAGAGCUUGUUUAACACAGAGGAGAGACUUGGCACAUUGAAUCUGUCUCUGUCUCUCUCUCCUCCUGUCUCCCCACCCCCCCUGUCUCUCUCUCUCUCUCCUCCAUCCUGAAUAUUGGAUUGCUCUUUUUGCUUUAAAGUUUUCUAGUGGCCUCUGGGUUACUGCAAGUUGACUGCAAGUAAGUCCUGAAACUGAAUUCCUCAGCCCAGGUCAACUCUGCUGUCUGGCGCCGGUCCACCUUUCUACCCUGUGCUGCUCUAGCAAAACCAAGUGACAUGUCUUGUCCACUCCACCUCCACACGUGCACUGCUGUAUCACAGCCAGAUGUAGGGACAAUGCUAGAAUGAGCAGACCUCCUUGUCAGUCUGACUUCUCAUUCGCAGUUCCCUGUGCAGACUGCAAAGGAAAUAUUAUAAUGCAAAAAAUUGGCAAAGUAGAAAGAAUGCAGAAAGCUGGG